Molecule: long non-coding RNA, 523 nt
Filed under: Theobroma cacao (cacao)
Lineage: Eukaryota; Viridiplantae; Streptophyta; Magnoliopsida; Malvales; Malvaceae
Description: long non-coding RNA (TCAC_LNC002096)
Source: RNAcentral
UUGUAUCUAAAUCCAUUGGGCCUCGACAUGUGAAGUGCGAGUACAUUUCCAGGAUAAACAGCAACCUAACAAUUUCGAGGAUAGGUUAGAUAUCUGGAUGAAUUGCAUUUUUUUUUUAAUUUUUGUAGAAUCUGGUCAUAUGCCACAGGGGCUUACCUUCUGUAUAGUAACGGGCUUGAUGCUUGAUCUAAGCAGCCUCGUCAAUCUUUCACAUAAAUAAAGGGUAACUGGAACUGCCAAGUACAUCCAGGUCUGCCAAUUUCCAAAAAAAAAAUAAAAUUUGAGAUUUCAUUAAAUAAUUGCCAUUACUGAAUUUCAGGAAUUUGAAGUGAUCAUUGCUUACCGUUUUCUUGUACCAUUUCUGGGUCAGGAAGAGCUUCAUUCCAUGCACAAUGAGGAGAGUGUAAACAAUGACAAAUAGAUGGUGAGAGUACCAGAAGGCAUUGAAGCCAGUGAGCUUCUUCAGAGGCUUGGGAAGGUCCAUCCUACCCCGCCUGAAGCAAGGCGCAGCUAGCGUGAAAGC